UACGUAGGGGGCAAGCGUUGUCCGGAUUUAUUGGGCGUAAAGAGCUCGUAGGUGGUUCGGUAAGUCGGAUGUGAAAUCUCCAGGCUCAACCUGGAGGGGUCAUUCGAUACUGGCGUGACUUGAGGUCGGUAGGGGAGUGUGGAAUUCCUGGUGGAGCGGUGAAAUGCGCAGAUAUCAGGAGGAACACCCGUAGCGAAGGCGGCACUCUGGGCCGAUACUGACACUGAGGAGCGAAAGCGUGGGGAGCGAACAGG
Molecule: ribosomal RNA, 254 nt
Filed under: uncultured bacterium
Lineage: Bacteria
Description: partial 16S ribosomal RNA
Rfam family: Bacterial small subunit ribosomal RNA
Source: RNAcentral